Molecule: ribosomal RNA, 316 nt
Filed under: uncultured bacterium
Lineage: Bacteria
Description: bacterial SSU rRNA
Rfam family: Bacterial small subunit ribosomal RNA
Source: RNAcentral
GACGAACGCUGGCGGCGCGCUUAACACAUGCAAGUCGAGCGAGAACCAGCCCUUCGGGGCGUGGGGACGAGCGGCGAACGGGUGAGUAACACGUGGGUAAUCUGCCCUCGGCACCGGGAUAGCCCGGGGAAACCCGGAUUAAUACCGGAUGGCCUUUCGAGCCCUCGGGCGUUGAAAGGAAAGGUAGCUUUGGUCCUCUGGCCGAGGAUGAGCCCGCGGCCGAUUAGCUUGUUGGUGAGGUAAUGGCNCACCAAGGCGACGAUCGGUAGCUGGUCUGAGAGGACGAUCAGCCACACUGGGACGUGAGACACGGCCC